CCGUCAAUUCCUUUGAGUUUUAGCCUUGCGGCCGUACUCCCCAGGCGGGGCACUUAAUGCGUUAGCUACGGCACGGAAGGAGUCGACACCUCCCACACCUAGUGCCCAUCGUUUACGGCGUGGACUACCAGGGUAUCUAAUCCUGUUUGCUCCCCACGCUUUCGCGUCUCAGCGUCAGUAUCGUCCCAGAGACCCGCCUUCGCCACCGGUGUUCUUCCUGAUAUCUGCGCAUUUCACCGCUACACCAGGAAUUCCAGUCUCCUCUUCCGGACUCAAGCCACGCAGUUUCCAAUGCAGACUCGGAGUUGAGCCCCGAGCUUUCACAUCGGACUUGCAUGGCCGCCUACACGCGCUUUACGCCCAAUGAUUCCGGACAACGCUCGCCCCCUACGUAUUACCGCGGCUGCUGGCACGUAGUUAGCCGGGGCUUCCUCUGGAGGUACCGUCACCCUCUCGGCUAUUCACCUGAGUGGCUUCGUCCCUCCUGACAGAGCUUUACAACCCGAAGGCCGUCUUCGCUCACGCGGCGUUGCUGCGUCAGGCUUCCGCCCAUUGCGCAAGAUUCCCCACUGCUGCCUCCCGUAGGAGU
RNAcentral lists this ribosomal RNA (589 nucleotides) under uncultured bacterium. Its description in RNAcentral is "partial 16S ribosomal RNA". The record is from RNAcentral.